Dipodomys spectabilis (banner-tailed kangaroo rat) is the source of this 793-nucleotide long non-coding RNA. RefSeq lists it as uncharacterized. NCBI's taxonomy places the organism in Eukaryota, Metazoa, Chordata, Mammalia, Rodentia, Heteromyidae. The record is from RefSeq and is a predicted model, not a curated record. The transcript has 2 exons.
UGAGACCAAGAAACAGAGGAAGAAGUCCCUGUGUGGUCACCUCAGAGCUUGUUUUGGCCACCAUAGAGCAGCUUCUCCUGACCUCCCAAGAAAGAAGCCCUCGGUGAUGUCAAGGAUGUUGAUGGAUGGGGAUCUGGAGCCCUCACUGGACUACACAAUGCAUGUGCAUGUAGAGGGGUUGAAUGCAUUUGCAGUGAGGCCCCAAAAGGUUGUGAGUCCUGUGGAUAAGACAGUGGUUCUGAAGCCCACAUGUAACAGAGCUGAACUUGUAGGGACCCCAAAGAAAGAAGAAGGUAAUAGUGAUUGUCUUCCUGUGACUUUCACAGGCAGCCCAGAUCAGCUCAAAAAGGGUCAAAUCAGCACGCCUCCUGGCGUGCUGGAGGGAGUAGCACACGUGGGGCUGAUGGAAAAUGUCCCCAGUCUGUGCUCAGGGGAACCAAUGAGUGAGGUCCCAACAUUAGAUGCAGCUCAGGAAAGUGAAUCUGUCCUCACUGAACAUCUGGACAAAUCUGUCCUGCUGCAGCAGAACCAAUCUCCAACUGAGAAAUUAGAAUCUGCCUCUCCAGCCUUUGCUGGAGCAAAUCCUCUCUUUCAUGAGGAGCUAGAUACUUUGGAGGAUUCUGAGGCAGAAUUUAUGUUUGAAGGCAACUUAGAAGCCGACCUAGCCUUAGAGCUUCCCUCCCCUCUCCCUGGGGAUAUCUCUCUUUUUCUUUUUGUCCUGAUUGUUGUAAAAUUUGCAUUCUUUUUAUUCUUCUAAAUUUAUUAAAGAUAUAUGUUUAUGUUGUAAAAUUUA